AUGAAGGGUGCAGUUAGCCACGCAGAUCAGAUCUUGUGUUCCAAACUUCCAAUGCUGGCAUCCAGUGAGGUCGUCAUCGAGGGCGUGACUCCGGUGCUACAAUGUAUGCCUGAGUUGCAGGUGUUAAGUGUGGAACCAUCUUCGCCUAUAUCGAUGGUGCUCUCGAAGGUGGGCUCGCUUGGGGCGGUGACGGUUGCCUCGACGCCCUCUCCACCUCCGUUGAAGCCUAGUCAGUCGGAGUAUGCAUGUGUGGAGGGUGAUGGUCCAGACAUGGUUAACACGCGAUCGCUUGAACCCUUUGGAGGUGUGGUUCCUAUGGCUGAUAAAAUUGUUGUGGCCGGAGUGUUGGUGCCUAAUCCUGGUGUCCUUUUAGCCACCAAGAUUUGUGAAUUCGUAGCCAACCUGGACUCUAAAAAUUCUGGAAAGACGAUUGGAUGCCUCUUGGAGGAAAAAGCUUUGAGGGAGAAGCACAAGAAGGGUGGCGCUAACUCUAGAUCUGGCAUCCUCAAAGAGAAAUCUUGCAGGAGCAAAAGCAAGAAGGAUAGCGCUAGAGGGGAGGCGUAA
RNAcentral lists this ribosomal RNA (564 nucleotides) under Triticum aestivum (bread wheat). RNAcentral describes it as "partial small subunit ribosomal RNA". Lineage: Eukaryota; Viridiplantae; Streptophyta; Magnoliopsida; Poales; Poaceae. The record is from RNAcentral.